RNAcentral lists this ribosomal RNA (253 nucleotides) under uncultured bacterium. RNAcentral's name for it is "partial 16S ribosomal RNA". It matches the Rfam family "Bacterial small subunit ribosomal RNA", at positions 524 to 776 of the family's 1533-position model. The record is from RNAcentral.
UACGUAGGGGGCAAGCGUUGUUCGGAAUUACUGGGCGUAAAGCGCACGUAGGCGGAAUGUUAAGUCAGGGGUGAAAUCCCGGGGCUCAACCCCGGAACUGCCUUUGAUACUGGCAUUCUCGAGUCCGGAAGAGGUGAGUGGAAUUCCGAGUGUAGAGGUGAAAUUCGUAGAUAUUCGGAGGAACACCAGUGGCGAAGGCGGCUCACUGGUCCGGUACUGACGCUGAGGUGCGAAAGCGUGGGGAGCAAACAGG